RNAcentral lists this ribosomal RNA (560 nucleotides) under uncultured fungus. Its description in RNAcentral is "SSU rRNA". It matches the Rfam family "Eukaryotic small subunit ribosomal RNA", at positions 191 to 755 of the family's 1831-position model. Lineage: Eukaryota; Fungi. The record is from RNAcentral.
AUUGGAAGGGGUGUAUUUAUUAGAUUAAAAACCAAUGCCCUUCGGGGCUCACUGGUGAUUCAUGAUAACUCCUCGAAUCGCAUGGCCUUGCGCCGGCGAUGGUUCAUUCAAAUUUCUUCCCUAUCAACUUUCGAUGUUUGGGUAUUGGCCAAACAUGGUUGCAACGGGUAACGGAGGGUUAGGGCUCGACCCCGGAGAAGGAGCCUGAGAAACGGCUACUACAUCCAAGGAAGGCAGCAGGCGCGCAAAUUACCCAAUCCCGACUCGGGGAGGUAGUGACAAUAAAUACUGAUACAGGGCUCUUUUGGGUCUUGUAAUUGGAAUGAGUACAAUUUAAAUCCCUUAACGAGGAACAAUUGGAGGGCAAGUCUGGUGCCAGCAGCCGCGGUAAUUCCAGCUCCAAUAGCGUAUAUUAAAGUUGUUGUGGUUAAAAAGCUCGUAGUUGAACCUUGGGCCUGGCUGGCCGGUCCGCCUCACCGCGUGUACUGGUCCGGCCGGGCCUUUCCCUCUGUGGAACCCCAUGCCCUUCACUGGGUGUGGCGGGGAACCAGGACUUUUAC